GACGAACGUUGGCGGCGUGCUUAAUACAUGCAAGUCAACUGAAGCAGUGGUAGCAAUAUCGCUGUGGAGGUGGCGCACGGGUGAGUAACACGUAGGUAAUCUGCCUUCAGGUCUGGCAUAACUCCGGGAAACCGGGGCUAAUAGCAGAUGAUGCAGCGGCUCGACAUCGAGACAGUUGUUAAAGCUAUGGCGCCUGAAGAUGAGCCUGCGUCUGAUUAGCUAGUUGGCGGGGUAACGGCCCACCAAGGCAACGAUCAGUAGCUGGUCUGAGAGGAUGAUCAGCCACACUGGAACUGAGACACGGUCCAGACUCCUACGGGAGGCAGCAGUAAGGAAUAUUGCUCAAUGGGAGAAAUCCUGAAGCAGCAACGCCGCGUGAGGGACGAAGGGCCUUUGCUUGUAAACCUCUGUAGUGAGAGAAAAAAAUCCCAAUCUUUGGGACAUGAUGGUAUCUCAAAAGUAAGCCCCGGCUAACUACGUG
This 481-nucleotide ribosomal RNA is filed under the name uncultured bacterium. RNAcentral describes it as "partial 16S ribosomal RNA". It matches the Rfam family "Bacterial small subunit ribosomal RNA", at positions 28 to 507 of the family's 1533-position model. The record is from RNAcentral.